RNAcentral lists this ribosomal RNA (460 nucleotides) under uncultured bacterium. Its description in RNAcentral is "partial 16S ribosomal RNA". It matches the Rfam family "Bacterial small subunit ribosomal RNA", at positions 338 to 795 of the family's 1533-position model. The record is from RNAcentral.
CCUACGGGUGGCAGCAGUGAGGAAUAUUGGUCAAUGGACGCAAGUCUGAACCAGCCAUGCCGCGUGCAGGAAGACGGCUCUAUGAGUUGUAAACUGCUUUUGUACGAGGGUAAACGCAGAUACGCGUAUCUGUAUGAAAGUAUCGUACGAAUAAGGCUCGGCUAAAUCCGUGCCAGCAGCCGCGGUAAUAAGGAGGAUUCAAGCGUUAUCCGGAUUUAUUGGGUUUAAAGGGUGCGUUGGCGGUCGGAUAAGUUAGAGGUGAAAUCCCGAGGCUCAACUUCGGAAUUGCCUCUGAUACUGUUCGGCUAGAGUGUAGUUGAGGUAGGCGGAAUGUAUGGUGUAGCGGUGAAAUGCAUAGAGAUCACACAGAACGCCGAUUGCGAAGGCAGCAUACCAAGCUACUACUGACGUUGAGGCACGAAAGCGUGGGGAGCAAACAGGAUUAGAUACCCUAGUAGUC